UGGCUCAGUUGGUAGAGCAUGGUGUUUGCAACGCCAGGAUUGUGGGUUUGAUUCCCAC
Salmo salar (Atlantic salmon) is the source of this 58-nucleotide non-coding RNA. The record is from Rfam. NCBI's taxonomy places the organism in Eukaryota, Metazoa, Chordata, Actinopteri, Salmoniformes, Salmonidae.